ACCGGGCUUGGUAGCGCUUGUCUGUAACUCAAGUGAGGGUAUUAAAGAUG
RNAcentral lists this small RNA (50 nucleotides) under Helianthus annuus (common sunflower). RNAcentral describes it as "Protozoan signal recognition particle RNA". The record is from RNAcentral. Lineage: Eukaryota; Viridiplantae; Streptophyta; Magnoliopsida; Asterales; Asteraceae.